CAGGGAGACAUAAACUGAUUAUGAUGUCUGAUGUUUAAAUUCAGGCCUUAAUCCUGUCACCUUAGGUCGAUCGGUACCUCAGAUUAAUAAAAUUAAAAGAGAGAAAUCAAUUUUAAUUUUUCUUUAAUUUCAGUUCCUAAACUUGUCUAGGUCACACCCAACAAACUUUCUCCUGGGCUAUUAGCUCAGGCGGUUAGAGCGCACCCCUGAUAAGGGUGAGGUCCCUGGUUCAAGUCCAGGAUGGCCCAUUCGUUGUUGGGGGUAUAGCUCAGUUGGUAGAGCGCCUGCUUUGCAAGCAGGAUGUCAGCGGUUCGAGUCCGCUUACCUCCACUGACUAGCCUCCUGAUAAUGACUUUUAAGGAGAUUAUUGUUGAAGGUGAUCUAGAGUUUGUUCUGGAUACAUGAACCUAGCUUCUUGUCAUUCGCAACUGGAAAUUAUUUUUUUGGUUUGUUUGAUAGGACGCUGGGCUCCCUGCAGUACUAGAUAUUGCAGUGAUGUCCAGUAGAACCUUGACAACUGCAUAGGUGAGUCUGGAAAGAAUAAAGCAUCUCAUGGAUGCAUUAUUCUUUUAAAUCAAAUCUAGUUUUCUGCAAAUAUCAGGAUAUCUAGUUUGCUUUAGAAGAAUACAUGUUUAAUUCUUGAGCAAGAGCCGAGACUCUAUAGUGUUCUUUCUUUGCUUAAAUGCACUGAAAGUUAGAUUUUUAAUUUAUCCUUUUAGAUCUCAGAUUGAAUUAUAUUUAAUUCUUUAGAUCUAUUGAAUAGGUUUCAAAUUAAAGAGAAAAGUGCUAACAACACAUCACAUUAUAGAGAUUUAUAU
This 818-nucleotide transfer RNA is filed under the name uncultured cyanobacterium. RNAcentral describes it as "partial 16S-23S ribosomal RNA intergenic spacer". The stretch from base 258 to 330 matches the Rfam family "tRNA". The record is from RNAcentral. Lineage: Bacteria; Bacillati; Cyanobacteriota.